GAUGGGUACUGCCAUUCAGUCAGGCCUCAGUCCAGAGACUUCUCCUGAAAGUAGUUUCCUGCAGCUAUUCUUUCACAGAACUGAACAAGACUUGUGGAGUUCAGGAGUCCAGCACCCAUCUCAGUGGAGUCUAGCACCCACCUCAGGGGAACAGCUUUUACUGCAAGUGCAGCAACAGGAAGAAUUUUCAAUUGGAAUCAAAUACCAGACAAGGGUCUUUGCUUGAGCACCACCAAUGACCCCAGAGAUGACCCACAGGAACUGCUGGCAAAAGGAGUGAAAAGGACUACCAGUUACUUAACACAUCAAAAUAUUAUAAGCAACAAAACAUUCAUAAAGUACUUAUGGAGGGACUAUGAGGAGACUUUUGCCAGGUUCUUUGCAAGAGCAGCUGGAAGUCCACAUAC
Molecule: long non-coding RNA, 407 nt
Organism: Alligator sinensis (Chinese alligator)
Lineage: Eukaryota; Metazoa; Chordata; Crocodylia; Alligatoridae
Exons: 4
Source: RefSeq, a predicted model, not a curated record